Molecule: long non-coding RNA, 1051 nt
Filed under: Oreochromis niloticus (Nile tilapia)
Lineage: Eukaryota; Metazoa; Chordata; Actinopteri; Cichliformes; Cichlidae
Description: lncRNA (ENSONIG00000028349.1)
Source: RNAcentral
AACACAACACAAAAUGGUCUACCUGGAUGGGGACCAGGAUUGGAUCCCUGUGCGGUACCGGGGACGGCGCUUAGUGCCUGGUGGCCGUAACAGGCAGUGGAGUAGCGGGAGGGCCCAAGGGAAGGACCGUGCACCUCCGCGUCCCUUCAGGGACCGGAACACUUUUCCUCUCCCUAACCGGCCAGUGCCUCCCUUUGGUCCGAACCGCUACUAUGGACCGCAGUCUCGGUCUUAUGCAGCAGUCACACGGGGAUUUGACAGGGGCUCUGCCACUAGGUUUGGGCGGUGGCAACCCAGAACAGCUGGUUAUGGGAGACAGCAACCAGCCCCCCCAGCAUUUGGAAGACUUGUGCGAAAGAUGCACAUGGUGAUUAAAAUGGUUCAUCACCUACAAAAUGUGGCCCCUAAGCCAGGGAAACCCCACCCUAGGAUGAUCUCCCGGAUGGUUGAGAUCUUGGGCUCAAUGAUCAAGCCCGCGUCCCCUACUUCUAAGACACUUGAUCUUAUACAGGGGAAUGCAAAGAAUUGGGGCUACACGACAUUGCUUGUGCUCGAGGACCACUACCUCACAAGUCUUGAGUCCCUGUUGGAUGACUUGGAGGGAGACUUGGUCCCAGAUUGGAAGGAUGCGUUUGGGGUGUCCAAACGGUGGGCUCGCCGCAAUUUGCCCCGCAUAUCCCAGGAAGUUCUGGAUCAUGCGGAAGCCUUGAUCACUGCAAGAACAAACAAGGACACUGAUCAACAAACACAACAUGACAGGCAGGCUCCUACAGAGGAGUCUAGCGACAGAGAUCGCACAACACACAGACGUGACGCACAGCAACAGACAUCCACAACACAACCACUGACACUGAACAAGCGGAAGCCCCACUUCAACGCACUGGAGCACGCACAGCUGCCACGAUGACGGAGCAGGUUAUGGUGCAUGCUGCACCUGCUUCCCAGUCCCCACCUCCUGUACAACCUCGGGAGAAAAGACCACCACGCAGGAGGAAUGCAUGUGUGAUCUCGCAGGAUGGUGACCUCCUCCAGGUAGAGGACUUGGGACACA